UUUCCGUAGGUGAACCUGCGGAAGGAUCAUUAAAGAACGCCCCGUUUUUUGAAAUGGGUAAUUCUAAACCGUGUAUACAUACCUUUGUUGCUUUGGCAGGCCGCCCCUCAGGGCGUCGGCUCCGGCUGACUGCGCCUGCCAGAGGACCCAAGCUCUUUUGUUUAGUGAUGUCUGAGUACUAUAUAAUAGUUAAAACUUCCAACAACGGAUCUCUUGGUUCUG
Molecule: unclassified non-coding RNA, 222 nt
Filed under: plant metagenome
Description: partial contains small subunit ribosomal RNA, internal transcribed spacer 1, and 5.8S ribosomal RNA
Source: RNAcentral